Molecule: ribosomal RNA, 497 nt
Filed under: uncultured bacterium
Lineage: Bacteria
Description: partial 16S ribosomal RNA
Rfam family: Bacterial small subunit ribosomal RNA
Source: RNAcentral
GAUGAACGCUGGCGGCGUGCCUAAUACAUGCAAGUCGAGCGAACAGACGAGGAGCUUGCUCCUCUGACGUUAGCGGCGGACGGGUGAGUAACACGUGGAUAACCUACCUAUAAGACUGGGAUAACUUCGGGAAACCGGAGCUAAUACCGGAUAAUAUAUUGAACCGCAUGGUUCAAUAGUGAAAGACGGUUUUGCUGUCACUUAUAGAUGGAUCCGCGCCGCAUUAGCUAGUUGGUAAGGUAACGGCUUACCAAGGCAACGAUGCGUAGCCGACCUGAGAGGGUGAUCGGCCACACUGGAACGGAGACACGGUCCAGACUCCUACGGGAGGCAGCAGUAGGGAAUCUUCCGCAAUGGGCGAAAGCCUGGCGGAGCAACGCCGCGUGAGUGAUGAAGGUCUUCGGAUCGUAAAACUCUGUUAUUAGGGAAGAACAAAUGUGUAAGUAACUAUGCACGUCUUGACGGUACCUAAUCAGAAAGCCACGGCUAACUACGUG